RNAcentral lists this ribosomal RNA (511 nucleotides) under uncultured bacterium. Its description in RNAcentral is "bacterial SSU rRNA". It matches the Rfam family "Bacterial small subunit ribosomal RNA", at positions 26 to 518 of the family's 1533-position model. The record is from RNAcentral.
AGAACGAACGCUGGCAGCGUGGAUUAGGCAUGGCAAGUCGGACGGGAUCGGGAAGGUAGCAAUAUCGGCCGUGAGAGUGGCGGAAGGGCGAGGAACACGUGGGCAACCUGUCCUUGAGGUGGGGAAAACCGCUGGAAACGGCGGCUAAUACCGAAUGUGGCGCCGGGAGGCAUCUUCCGAGCGCUAAAGGGGGCGAAAGCUCCCCCUCUUCGAGGGGCUCGCGCACCAUCAGCUUGUUGGCGGGGUAACGGCCCACCAAGGCUCACGGUUAGCUGGUCUGAGAGGAUGGCCAGCCGCACUGGGACUGAGAUACUGCCCAGACUCCUACGGGAGGCUGCAGUCGAGGAUCAUUCGCAAUGGGGGAAACCCUGACGAUGCGACGCUGCGUGGAGGAUGAAGGCCCUCGGGUCGUAAACUCCUGUCAUGAGGGAAAAGGCGAGGGGGCCCAACACGUCCCUUAGUUGAUGGUACCUCAAGAGGAACGGGCGGCUAACUCUGUGCCAGCCGCAGC